Long non-coding RNA from Passer montanus (Eurasian tree sparrow), 2008 nucleotides. RefSeq lists it as uncharacterized. The transcript is spliced from 3 exons. The record is from RefSeq and is a predicted model, not a curated record. NCBI's taxonomy places the organism in Eukaryota, Metazoa, Chordata, Aves, Passeriformes, Passeridae.
UCCACAAAGCCCAGAUGGCUCCAAAUCCAGUUUGCAAAUAAAAAUGGUUACCCUUGCUGGAGUGAAAUCUCUUUACCACAGUAAAGGUGUGCUUGCAGCUGUCAAGGACUUCCUGCUUCCUACUUGAGUAGGGAACAGACAAAUCCUUGCACAUGAGUUCAAGCACCUCUUGUUCAAGAAUUUCUGCUUCCUGUGGACGACUGAUGUUCUGCUAACUGUGCCCUUUUACAGAGAACUCACCUCCUCAGGCCUAAAGAAUUUUUUAUAUUCUAAAUGUAUUUAUUUUCUCUAGGAUGGGACAGCCCUGGCUCCCCUGACUCCUUCCUCUUGCACGCCGUUCCUUAUUUCUCCGCGAUGCUUUGCCUGCUAGCAGCACUGUGCUGGCAGUUGUCCUUUCAGGGUUACCCAGCUCUACUUCUCCUAGUUUGGUUGAUAGCUGCCAGUUAGAGAAACUUAAAACCUCAUUAAACAUCAUUAUUAUCUUUUCUCAUUUUUGUCUGUCCCACAGACCACUCCUGCUGGGUUCUCUCUAGGUUACUGUAAUGCAAAUAGUAAGUUCUUACUUGAAAUGAAAAGCAUUUACUAUAAACUGUUUUCUCCUUCAAUAGCAAAGCAAAAGCAGCAUCUUGGGCUGCACUGUGUCUUUUGUUUCAAGUGAGGUUUGUUCUAUACUUUUUCCCCAGGAAAACAGCUUUGAUUAAUAUUUCAAGCAUUUUAUAACACUAAAAGCCCAACAACAGGAUAGAAAAGCUGAUUAUGCAGAAAUGAAAGCCAAGCUACAUCUAAAGGUCAGAAGGCAAAAGUGCCUAUGUCAAGCACUACAUACCUUUUGGUUCUUGAACCUGGCAGCUGGAGGAAAAUCAACAUUGCACAAAAACCAAUAAUCCCUGCAAUGAAUCCUCUGUUUACUGGAAAACUCUUAUGUAAGUAUUAACAGGUCAGGUAAGAAAUCCUACAUACUGUACACUUCUGCUUAGCACCAUUCUAACAGGCAUAAGGCAACAUCAGGGGACAACAAUGGGAUUUUUUCAAUGUACAGGCACUUUUGUUUGGUCAGGGUAAAUGGUUCCUACCAGACAAAUGCCACAAUUAUGAUUAUUUCUACAAACAACACUCAGUAAAGAGAUCAGGAGUUCAACUGGACACUUGAUAUCGUGCUUUUUUUUCUUAUGCUUUUAGGAAGACAUAAUUCUGACUGCUACAUGUGCAUCUUUGACUGACCAUCUGUGCAGCAUAGAUGUUCUCUGCCCAGAAAGCCUUAAACAAAAGAUGGAUAUGAAUGACAGAUCAAGAGACUUUCAGUUUGUAGAGGCAGCUCUGAAUGGAGUAAUAACUGUGAUUCACAAAAUGUGUCACCCAGGAGCAGAAAAGAUGUACAACUAAGCCUGCUAUACCAUAUUUCCAUUACCAGUUCCUGAUGGAGAGGCCUGGGACUAUCUGGUUGUGGACUUUAAGUGAUGGUUCAACAUUGUAGCAGUGCAAAAACCUAAGAUUUAAGGUGUUUCUGCUGAUAAAUAUCACAGACUACACCACCUGCUGUUCAGUGAAGUGACAUCAAUAUACAAGUUGCUAAAUACUCCCUUAAAUUUUCUUGAUUUCUUUAGAUUUUUUUAAUUAAGACGUUGAUUUGGACUCCUCAGAAAGUUUAAUGCCCAAGAGGAUUUGUCAUCUGAGCUGGAAAAUACGUGCACAGGAACCCACUGCUCUUCUGAACCCAUCAACCACCUCCUUACUGCUGAUUUUGCAAGGUUUAACCUGUACUUGCUGCACGUCCACGUGGAAGCAGAAUUUGAACUCCUCUGGGUUUGUACAUCUCACUCACAGAUUUAUCAGGAAAAUAAUUUAAUAGUCUCAUUCUUCAGUGAUCCUAUUAACUUCCAAGUUGUGGUGUCUGUUCAGCUGUGCACAAAGAGCUGUUCUCAGAACUGUUUUCCUGAUUAAAGAUUAACAGUGCGAUAAAAGAAGGAAACAUGGGCAUCCUUGGAGUUUGUUUCUUACAUCAGCUGGG